This 392-nucleotide ribosomal RNA is filed under the name uncultured bacterium. Its description in RNAcentral is "partial 16S ribosomal RNA". It matches the Rfam family "Bacterial small subunit ribosomal RNA", at positions 523 to 917 of the family's 1533-position model. The record is from RNAcentral.
AUACGGAGGAUGCAAGCGUUAUCCGGAUUUAUUGGGUUUAAAGGGUGCGUAGGCGGAUGAUUAAGCGUGAGGUGAAAUGCCACUGCUCAACAGUGGAACUGCCUCGCGAACUGGUUGUCUUGAAUGCUCCUGCCGUGGGCGGAAUGUGUAGUGUAGCGGUGAAAUGCUUAGAGAUUACACAGAACACCGAUUGCGAAGGCAUUUCUCGAAGGGUUGAUUGACGCUGAGGCACGAAAGCGUGGGGAUCAAACAGGAUAAGAUGCCCGGGUAUUCCACGCAGUAAACGAGGAUGGCUAACCGAUGUGCUUAUCAGUUAAGUGGCCAAGCAAAAGCGAUAAGCAAUCCUCCGGGGGAGUACGACCGAAAGGUUGAAACUCAAAUGAAUUGACGGG